CCAAAUAUAAAAGAAGUUACAAAACACGUAAUAAUUAACAAUCAUGGUUAAAGAAGCUAGUAUACAAGGUAGCUACAAAACCCUAUUUCAAUAACACCAAAUUCAAGUUCCGACUAAGAUAAACAACCAUGGAAUGCAACAUUAAAUAACACUCCACUUGAAGAAGUGCUAAGCCUUGGCUUUUCCAGCUUGAAGAGAUUGAAUCCUCUACU
Molecule: long non-coding RNA, 212 nt
Filed under: Gossypium raimondii (Peruvian cotton)
Lineage: Eukaryota; Viridiplantae; Streptophyta; Magnoliopsida; Malvales; Malvaceae
Description: long non-coding RNA (GRAI_LNC003789)
Source: RNAcentral